This is a small nucleolar RNA of Tachyglossus aculeatus (Australian echidna), 138 nucleotides long. The record is from RefSeq and is a predicted model, not a curated record. Lineage: Eukaryota; Metazoa; Chordata; Mammalia; Monotremata; Tachyglossidae.
CCCCUCUCAGGGUCACACCUGGAGAGUUUCCAGUACUCUACCAGUCUUGACUACGGGAGGGAGUGUCAAGCUGAGGCAUACCCAUUCCAUUCCUAGGUUGGCCAGUGGCUAGCGAGUGGACGGCAAUCUGCUACAAGU